This is a long non-coding RNA of Culex quinquefasciatus (southern house mosquito), 1415 nucleotides long. RefSeq lists it as uncharacterized. Lineage: Eukaryota; Metazoa; Arthropoda; Insecta; Diptera; Culicidae. The record is from RefSeq and is a predicted model, not a curated record. The transcript is spliced from 3 exons.
UUCUUCUCGUUCUUCCUAAACGAGGAAACGUCAAAUUAAUCCAUCCAAGCAAGCCGAGUGUGGUUUGGCGAUUUGGUACCGCGUUGUUGUUCAUUUUAAAGUGCCUAAAAGAAGGAAGAGGAAGUGCAGCAAAGCUGGCGUAGAUUCGGGCUUAGCGGUGAAAAUCUUGACCGGAGGCUUAUUUUUCAAUUCCCGACGACGAGUGAGGCGCAUUACAGUUCCGACCUUCUAGCAGUGAUCGGAAUGCGGAAAUGUUGGGCAGCACCGUUCCGACGUUGUUCGGAUUCACAACGCUGGACAGCUGCAAGUACCGAGUUUUGUCCAGAUCGAAACCCACGGCGGCAAGGACAUCGCCACGAACCUGGACAACACCUUUCAGAUCGUGCUGAAGAAGAAGCUCAAAAAGAACUAGGACCGGCAAGUACGAGCUGGACGUCGUAAAAGUGGUCCUCACGUUCUGGCCCCGGCUGUACGGGAAUCCGGGUGCGUGAAACGGCCCAGCAGGCACAGGUGGCGGUCGUCGCGAAGGCAGGCAAGAACACCGCGCCGUAUCUGACGUAGUAGGCGCUGGCCUGGAUUUCGGCCCAGUACGACACUUACAAUCCGGCAGCCAGUUUGGCGAGCCAUUCGUUGCAGUGCGCCCCCGCCCGCUGGGCAAAGAGUUUGUGUCUUGUGAAGCGGAAAUUGCACGUGCACGUCGAGCAAUCCGAAAUCCAACACCCCUGAAGAGUGCGAAAAAAAUACCAGCGCUGAUCGAAACAUAAAUAAGUUCGCGAAGCAGUCAACAGCAACAGCGACCUGGAGGAAUCAAAAAAUCGCGAGACGGAAUCGCCGAUGACCGUGGAGUACAACUCUGAUUGCGAGCUGAACGAGGGUGACACGCUGUGCAUCGAGGAUUCUGUCGAGGGUCAAGAACCGAAGACCGGUGAGGAUCCCAAAUAGUUGGAGGAAUCUCCCAGUUCUGCCAUUUCACAAACAACAGCAGAGAAGAGGGUCACUCCACCGCGCAGCAGAAUUUCUCGACUAAUCGAAAGUGACUCUGAGGAUGAGAAUCCGGAACCCAGCGGAAAUAAAAGUCCAGCUGGCACCACAACUUCAAAAAGCUGUCCCGAAUCAUCGACAGCGAUUCCGACGAGGCGGACAGAACCGUCACGACUCGGCGAAACCUAAUUACUGAGUUGGGAAGUGACUCGGACCAGCUGGCCAAACAAAACCAGACGAUCGACGCCAUCGGGGACGAAAUCGACAAGACCAUGAGCCGGCUCAAGUCGUUGGUGGAUUUGGACUCGAGCUCGAGAAGGGAUCAGGAAUCGGUUGGUGAAAAAAGCGCAAAAAGAAGCUCAACCCGAAGAAGGAGCGGUCCCAGGCCAUGGAGAAGAAAAAGGACCCGAAGGAUCUGCUGGCCAGUGUGAGUA